Molecule: ribosomal RNA, 791 nt
Filed under: uncultured bacterium
Lineage: Bacteria
Description: bacterial SSU rRNA
Rfam family: Bacterial small subunit ribosomal RNA
Source: RNAcentral
AGAGUUUGAUCCUGGCUCAGAUUGAACGCUGGCGGCAUGCCUUACACAUGCAAGUCGAACGGCAGCGCGGGGCAACCUGGCGGCGAGUGGCGAACGGGUGAGUAAUAUAUCGGAACGUGCCCUGGAGUGGGGGAUAACGCAGCGAAAGUUGCGCUAAUACCGCAUACGAUCUAAGGAUGAAAGCGGGGGAUUCGCAAGAACCUCGUGCUCCUGGAGCGGCCGAUAUCUGAUUAGCUAGUUGGUGGGGUAAAGGCCUACCAAGGCAUCGAUCAGUAGCUGGUCUGAGAGGACGACCAGCCACACUGGAACUGAGACACGGUCCAGACUCCUACGGGAGGCAGCAGUGGGGAAUUUUGGACAAUGGGCGAAAGCCUGAUCCAGCAAUGCCGCGUGAGUGAAGAAGGCCUUCGGGUUGUAAAGCUCUUUUGUCAGGGAAGAAACGGUGUGGGCUAAUAUCCUGCACUAAUGACGGUACCUGAAGAAUAAGCACCGGCUAACUACGUGCCAGCAGCCGCGGUAAUACGUAGGGUGCAAGCGUUAAUCGGAAUUACUGGGCGUAAAGCGUGCGCAGGCGGUUUUGUAAGUUUGUCGUGAAAGCCCCGGGCUCAACCUGGGAAUUGCGAUGAAGACUGCAAGGCUUGAAUCUGGCAGAGGGGGGUAGAAUUCCACGUAGCAGUGAAAUGCGUAGAGAUGUGGAGGAACACCGAUGGCGAAGGCAGCCCCCUGGGUCAAGAUUGACGCUCAUGCACGAAAGCGUGGGGAGCAAACAGGAUUAGAUACCCUAGUAGUCC